RNAcentral lists this unclassified non-coding RNA (211 nucleotides) under plant metagenome. RNAcentral describes it as "partial contains small subunit ribosomal RNA and internal transcribed spacer 1". The stretch from base 1 to 46 matches the Rfam family "Eukaryotic small subunit ribosomal RNA", at positions 1786 to 1831 of the family's 1831-position model. The record is from RNAcentral.
AAGUCGUAACAAGGUUUCCGUAGGUGAACCUGCGGAAGGAUCAUUAAAGAGAACUUGCCCUUCGGGGUAGAUCUCCCACCCUUUGUUUAUCAUACCUUUGUUGCUUUGGCAGGCCCGUCCCCGGCCGGCCGCUGCUGGCUGGCCCGCGCCUGUCAGAGGACCCCAAACUCAUGUUUAUAUGUCGUCUGAGUACUAUAACAAAUCGUUAAAA